RNAcentral lists this ribosomal RNA (480 nucleotides) under uncultured bacterium. Its description in RNAcentral is "partial 16S ribosomal RNA". It matches the Rfam family "Bacterial small subunit ribosomal RNA", at positions 28 to 523 of the family's 1533-position model. The record is from RNAcentral.
AAUGAACGUUGGCGGCGUGGAUUAGGCAUGCAAGUCGAGCGCGGACCCCACAAGGGGUGAAAGCGGCGAAAGGGAGAGUAACGCGUGGGUAUUUACCCUCGGGACUGGGAUAGCGGCGGGAAACUGCAGGUAAUACCAGAUGACGUCCCCGGACCAAAGGUGUGAUUCCGCCUGAGGAUAAGCCCGCGUCCUAUUCGCUAGUUGGUGAGGUAAUGGCUGACCAAGGCAAUGAUGGGUACUGGGUGUGAGAGCACGACCCAGCUCACUGGGACUGAGACACUGCCCAGACACCUACGGGUGGCUGCAGUCGAGAAUCUUCGGCAAUGGGCGCAAGCCUGACCGAGCGACGCCGCGUGUGGGAUGAAGGCCUUCGGGUUGUAAACCGCUGUCAGAGGGGAGGAAUGGGCGGACGGUAAUCUCUUCGUUUUGACCUAUCCUCAGAGGAAGUACGGGCUAAGUUCGUGCCAGCCGCCGCCGUAA